GUUGCAUUGGGGCGUCUGGGUUCUUCUUCCUCUAGAGCAACUGGUAUCUCCCAAGCUUGGGCAACUUUUACCAUGCACAAUUUAGCUCUGGUGGCUAUAGUCUCAAGUUCAAGAGAGUUGUCUCUGUUCUAGAUCUGGGGCCCAUAGGAACACAGGAAACCAUAGAUGGUGUUAGAGUCUGUUGGCCUUCUCAAACUCCGUCAGCCCUCGCAUGGAUUGAUUGUCAAUAUGGGAGUGGUUCCUGCUGGAGUUUCCCAAAGGAAGCUCAAUUUGCCUACUUUGGGCACCUUUUUGAUACUGGGAUUCUGUCUACACUUACAUUCUGCACAUGUAGAUGACAGCAUCAUCCCUCUCUUUCUUAUCGGUCUGUUUUCCCUGGAGACACGAAGGACCCCGAAUUCUAUAGGCUGGGUAGGUUGAUGUACCGCCUUUGUCUUGUGGUUUAAAGCAUGUGUUACAAGCACAUUUUGUUGUUACAGCAUUUUUAUGAUUUAAAUUUAACUUUCCCACUUCUACUUUCUCAACAUUACCAGUUUCUGCCUCUUUUCUUAGAAUUUUAGGGCAUCAGGUCAUUUUUAGGUCACCAACUUGUAUCCAAGGCCUAAAAUAGCUAAGCUAAAGUCUUUCAGCAGGCCUCAGCCUACAGUUUUCUUGUGUUUCAGCU
Long non-coding RNA from Dermochelys coriacea (leatherback sea turtle), 664 nucleotides. RefSeq lists it as uncharacterized. The transcript is spliced from 3 exons. The record is from RefSeq and is a predicted model, not a curated record. Lineage: Eukaryota; Metazoa; Chordata; Testudines; Dermochelyidae.